RNAcentral lists this ribosomal RNA (300 nucleotides) under uncultured Congregibacter sp. RNAcentral describes it as "bacterial SSU rRNA". It matches the Rfam family "Bacterial small subunit ribosomal RNA", at positions 114 to 417 of the family's 1533-position model. The record is from RNAcentral. Lineage: Bacteria; Pseudomonadati; Pseudomonadota; Gammaproteobacteria; Cellvibrionales; Halieaceae.
CGCGUAGGAAUCUAUCCAGUAGUGGGGGACAACAUGGGGAAACUCAUGCUAAUACCGCAUACGUCCUAAGGGAGAAAGCGGGGGAUCUUCGGACCUCGCGCUAUUGGAGGAGCCUGCGUUGGAUUAGCUAGUUGGUGGGGUAAAGGCCCACCAAGGCGACGAUCCAUAGCUGGUCUGAGAGGAUGAUCAGCCACACCGGGACUGAGACACGGCCCGGACUCCUACGGGAGGCAGCAGUGGGGAAUAUUGCGCAAUGGGCGACAGCCUGACGCAGCCAUGCCGCGUGUGUGAAGAAGGCCU